AUCCAAGUAUCAUAAUUAUAUUAGAAUGAUAAAACUUGAGAGCUAAAACAGGGAUCUAUGAGACUAUCUAGUUGACCCCUAAUUUUAUACAUUAAGAAACAUGAGGCACAGAGAAAUAAGAAGUCUGCCCCAAAUUAUAUAACUGGAUCAGUAGUAGAGGGGACUGAAUCUGUCAUUCAGUCAGAGAUCUUCCAAUUUUACAUGUAGAAUCUGGAAUGCACCAUUUUAAAAUCAGCUGUGAGGCAAACAUAGUACCUUAAAAUUUUUUUAUUUAAUUUUUAAAUCUAUGGGUAAUGUGUCCUAAAUAUAUAAUUGUAAUAUAAGAUUAAAAUAGCACUCAAAGAUCUAUUUAUGUCGAUUGCAUCAAUGUUACAUUUUAAAAAACAUUUAUGAAUAUGUAUUACCAUUAUUAAUGGUGUCUUAGAUCUCUAAUGAGUACUGUGUGUGUGUGUGUGUGUGUGUGUGUGUGUGUGUGUGUGUACACAAAUUCCUUUGUGAGAAAAAGGAGCAAAUGGAUUCAGGUACAAUCAGAAGAAUCUCUUAAACUCUUUUUUCUAUUUCUGGCAUCUGCUUUGACCAGAAUAGCUUUUUGAAGUUUAGAAGCGUUUGCUCUCUUUUUCUAGUUGGUGAUUAUAUAUUCAAUGACAAUUUAAAGUGAGGUAAGAAUGGAAGACAGGUUAAUUUAUUUGUCCUAUCAUCUUUCCACCUAUAGAUCUGGUUGGGGUUAGGGGAGCAAUAAAUAGCACCUCUAUGCCCUUGUAGGUUCCAUACAAAAUAAAUAAAACAGAAUAGCCAGAUAGGAAAGAAAAAUUGGGCAGGACCAUUAUAUCUGGCAGAGCUCUAAGCCCAUAAAGGCAACAUAAAGCAUUGGGAAGUUUUCCCACUUCUUCUCCAAGUAGUGACCUCCUACUAUGGUCCAAGCAUUGUGCAAGGCACGGAAUAUACAACCAUAAGUAAAGCAUUAGUCCUUGCCCUUUAAGAGCUCCUAGACAAGUGAAUGAAUUACAUUUAUAACAGACACUUAUGGUGUAAUAUAUUAACUGCUGUCAUAGAGAUACACCAGAAAUCUAGAACCAUAAGGUCUAGAAUGUUGAACUGUGUUUGGAAAUGAUACUGUGUAUGCUGGGGAAUAGGACAUGUCUUUUGAGAUGUUCAGCUUUAUGUCUUCAAAUGUUAGAGCUUUAUGAUGCUGGAGAGGAUUCUUUGAAUCUUAUCUUGAAAGCAGAUUCCCCAACUCAGUCAAGGUUUCAAAUGACUUGUAAUCCUGGCUGACAUCUCAACAGCAUCCCAUGAAACGCUUGGGUCAGAACUACCCAAAUAACCUGCUCCUGGAUUCCUGACCCUCAAAAACUAAGGGGACUUUGGAGUAUGCUAAGCAGAAGACAACUGACAGUUUGGAGAGGAACUACACCACUGACUUUACUAAAGCCUCUAGCUUGCAGAUGUCAGAUCAUUGGACUUCAAUCUCCAUAAUCAUAAGAUGUGACAUCUGGAAUUGUGACAGUCAUCUUGACACCAUGAAGGCUUUGAAGUAACAGCAGAAAGAUGGGAAGAAUCUAGGUCUUCAGUGACAGUUACCGACCUAGUGAAUUAACCAACCUUGAUUUUUUUCUUUGUGUGUAAUAAUAAACUCUCUCAUUGGUAAAGCCA
Molecule: long non-coding RNA, 1650 nt
Organism: Canis lupus familiaris (dog)
Lineage: Eukaryota; Metazoa; Chordata; Mammalia; Carnivora; Canidae
Exons: 5
Source: RefSeq, a predicted model, not a curated record